UACGUAGGGGGCAAGCGUUGUCCGGAUUUAUUGGGCGUAAAGAGCGUGUAGGCGGCCACACAGGUCUGCUGUGAAAACUCGAGGCUCAACCUCGAGCUGUCGGUGGAAACCGUGUGGCUAGAGUCCGGAAGAGGAGAGUGGAAUUCCCGGUGUAGCGGUGAAAUGCGCAGAUAUCGGGAAGAACACCCGUGGCGAAGGCGGCUCUCUGGGACGGUACUGACGCUGAGACGCGAAAGCGUGGGGAGCGAACAGG
RNAcentral lists this ribosomal RNA (253 nucleotides) under uncultured bacterium. Its description in RNAcentral is "partial 16S ribosomal RNA". It matches the Rfam family "Bacterial small subunit ribosomal RNA", at positions 524 to 776 of the family's 1533-position model. RNAcentral also lists the same sequence under 1 other name. The record is from RNAcentral.